UGGAAACGACUGCUAAUACCGCAUAACGUCUACGGACCAAACGGGGCUUAGGCUCCGGCGCAAAGAGAGGCCCAAGUGAGAUUAGCUAGUUGGUAAGGUAAAGGCUUACCAAGGCAACGAUCUCUAGCUGUUCUGAGAGGAAGAUCAGCCACACUGGAACUGAGACACGGUCCAGACUCCUACGGGAGGCAGCAGUGGGGAAUAUUGCACAAUGGGGGAAACCCUGAUGCAGCCAUGCCGCGUGUGUGAAGAAGGCCUUCGGGUUGUAAAGCACUUUCAGUUGUGAGGAAAAGUUAGUAGUUAAUACCUGCUAGCCGUGACGUUAACAACAGAAGAAGCACCGGCUAACUCCGUGCCAGCAGCCGCGGUAAUACGGAGGGUGCGAGCGUUAAUCGGAAUUACUGGGCGUAAAGCGCACGCAGGCGGUUUGUUAAGCUAGAUGUGAAAGCCCCGGGCUCAACCUGGGAUGGUCAUUUAGAACUGGCAGACUAGAGUCUUGGAGAGGGGAGUGGAAUUCCAGGUGUAGCGGUGAAAUGCGUAGAUAUCUGGAGGAACAUCAGUGGCGAAGGCGACUCCCUGGCCAAAGACUGACGCUCAUGUGCGAAAGUGUGGGUAGCGAACAGGAUUAGAUACCCUGGUAGUCCACACCGUAAACGCUGUCUACUAGCUGUUUGUGACUUUAAGUCGUGAGUAGCGAAGCUAACGCGAUAAGUAGACCGCCUGGGGAGUACGGCCGCAAGGUUAAAACUCAAAUGAAUUGACGGGGGCCCGCACAAGCGGUGGAGCAUGUGGUUUAAUUCGAUGCAACGCGAAGAACCUUACCUACACUUGACAUGCAGAGAACUUUCCAGAGAUGGAUUGGUGCCUUCGGGAACUCUGACACAGGUGCUGCAUGGCUGUCGUCAGCUCGUGUCGUGAGAUGUUGGGUUAAGUCCCGCAACGAGCGCAACCCUUGUCCUUAGUUGCCAGCAUUCAGUUGGGCACUCUAAGGAGACUGCCGGUGACAAACCGGAGGAAGGUGGGGACGACGUCAAGUCAUCAUGGCCCUUACGUGUAGGGCUACACACGUGCUACAAUGGCAUUUACAGAGGGAAGCGAGACAGUGAUGUGGAGCGGACCCCUUAAAGAAUGUCGUAGUCCGGAUUGGAGUCUGCAACUCGACUCCAUGAAGUCG
This 1174-nucleotide ribosomal RNA is filed under the name Alteromonas macleodii. Its description in RNAcentral is "bacterial SSU rRNA". It matches the Rfam family "Bacterial small subunit ribosomal RNA", at positions 151 to 1328 of the family's 1533-position model. Lineage: Bacteria; Pseudomonadati; Pseudomonadota; Gammaproteobacteria; Alteromonadales; Alteromonadaceae. The record is from RNAcentral.